RNAcentral lists this ribosomal RNA (781 nucleotides) under uncultured Actinomycetes bacterium. RNAcentral describes it as "bacterial SSU rRNA". It matches the Rfam family "Bacterial small subunit ribosomal RNA", at positions 100 to 896 of the family's 1533-position model. Lineage: Bacteria; Bacillati; Actinomycetota; Actinomycetes. The record is from RNAcentral.
GAACGGGUGAGUAACAGGGUGGGUGAUCUGCCUUGCACUUCGGGAUAAGCUUGGGAAACUGGGUCUAAUACCGGAUAGGACAGCUGUUUAGUGUCAGUUGUGGAAAGUUUUUUCGGUGCAAGAUGAGCUCGCGGCCUAUCAGCUUGUUGGUGGGGUAGUGGCCUACCAAGGCGUCGACGGGUAGCCGGCCUGAAGGGUGUACGGCCACAUUGGGACUGAGAUACGGCCCAGACUCCUACGGGAGGCAGCAGUGGGGAAUAUUGCACAAUGGGCGGAACGCCUGAUGCAGCGACGCCGCGUGGGGGAUGAAGGCCUUCGGGUUGUAAACUCCUUUCGACAGGGACGAAGCGUAAGUGACGGUACCUGUAUAAGAAGCACCGGCUAACUACGUGCCAGCAGCCGCGGUAAUACGUAGGGUGCGAGCGUUGUCCGGAAUUACUGGGCGUAAAGAGCUCGUAGGUGGUUUGUCGCGUCGUCUGUGAAAUUCCGGGGCUUAACUCCGGGCGUGCAGGCGAUACGGGCUGACUUGAGUGCUGUAGGGGAGACUGGAAUUCCUGGUGUAGCGGUGAAAUGCGCAGAUAUCAGGAGGAACACCGAUGGCGAAGGCAGGUCUCUGGGCAGUAACUGACGCUGAGGAGCGAAAGCAUGGGUAGCGAACAGGAUUAGAUACCCUGGUAGUCCAUGCCGUCCACGGUGGGCGCUAGGUGUAGGGGGCUUCCACGUCUUCUGUGCCGUAGCUAACGCAUUAAGCGCCCCGCCUGGGGAGUACGCCGCAAGGCUA